AGGUCAUUGCUAUUGGAGUCCGAUUUAGCCAUGCUAGUUGUACGAGUUUAGACUCGUAGCAGAUAGCUCAGUAACACGUGGCCAAACUACCCUAUCGAGCACGAUACUCUCGGGAAACUGAGGUUAAUAGUGCAUACGGCUCGCUGCCUGGAGUGGCGCGAGCUAGAAAUGCUCAGGCGCGAUAGGAUGUGGCUGCGGCCGAUUAGGUAGACGGUGGGGUAACGGCCCACCGUGCCGAUAAUCGGUACGGGUUGUGAGAGCAAGAGCCCGGAGACGGUAUCUGAGACAAGAUACCGGGCCCUACGGGGCGCAGCAGGCGCGAAACCUUUACACUGCACGAGAGUGCGAUAAGGGGACUCCAAGUGCGAGGGCAUAUAGUCCUCGCUUUUUCCGACCGUAGGAUGGUCGGCGAAUAAGUGCUGGGCAAGACCGGUGCCAGCCGCCGCGGUAAUACCGGCAGCACAAGUGAUGACCGCUAUUAUUGGGCCUAAAGCGUCCGUAGCUGGCCACGCAAGUCCAUCGGGAAAUCUCUCCGCUCAACGGAGAGGCGUCCGGUGGAAACUGCAUGGCUUGGGACCGGAAGAUCCAGAGGGUACGUCUGGGGUAGGAGUGAAAUCCUGUAAUCCGAGACGGACCACCGGUGGCGAAAGCGCUCUGGAAAGACGGAUCCGACGGUGAGGGACGAAAGCUCGGGUCACGAACCGGAUUAGAUACCCGGGUAGUCCGAGCUGUAAACGAUGUCUGCUAGGUGUGGCACAGGCUACGAGCCUGUGCUGUGCCGUAGGGAAGCCGUGAAGCAAACCCGCCUGGGAAGUACGUCUGCAAGGAUGAAACUUUAAAGGAAUUGGCGGGGGAGCACUACAACCGGAGGAGCCUGCGGUUU
Molecule: ribosomal RNA, 883 nt
Filed under: uncultured archaeon
Lineage: Archaea
Description: SSU rRNA
Rfam family: Archaeal small subunit ribosomal RNA
Source: RNAcentral